AAUGAAGUGCCUGAGAAAAGGAAUAUCUUGAUAGGAUAUAAAACGUAAAAAAGAUUUACCUUCAUUA
This 67-nucleotide transfer RNA is filed under the name Therea regularis. Its description in RNAcentral is "tRNA-Ile". The record is from RNAcentral. Lineage: Eukaryota; Metazoa; Arthropoda; Insecta; Blattodea; Corydiidae.